UACGUAGGGUGCGAGCGUUAAUCGGAAUUACUGGGCGUAAAGGGCGCGUAGGCGGCCUUCUAAGUCGAACGUGAAAUCCCCGGGCUCAACCCGGGAACUGCGUCCGAUACUGGAAGGCUUGAAUCCGGGAGAGGGAUGUGGAAUUCCAGGUGUAGCGGUGAAAUGCGUAGAUAUCUGGAGGAAUACCGGUGGCGAAGGCGGCAUCCUGGACCGACAUUGACGCUGAUGAGCGAAAGCUAGGGGAGCAAACGGG
RNAcentral lists this ribosomal RNA (253 nucleotides) under uncultured bacterium. RNAcentral's name for it is "partial 16S ribosomal RNA". It matches the Rfam family "Bacterial small subunit ribosomal RNA", at positions 524 to 776 of the family's 1533-position model. The record is from RNAcentral.